AACGAGAAGGCGGGUAAAAACCCCGCUCGCCGGAAGACCAAGGGUUCCUGUCCAACGUUAAUCGGGGCAGGGUGAGUCGACCCCUAAGGCGAGGCCGAAAGGCGUAGUCGAUGGGAAACAGGUUAAUAUUCCUGUACUUGGUGUUACUGCGAAGGGGGGACGGAGAAGGCUAUGUUGGCCGGGCGACGGUUGUCCCGGUUUAAGCGUGUAGGCUGGUUUUCCAGGCAAAUCCGGAAAAUCAAGGCUGAGGCGUGAUGACGAGGCACUACGGUGCUGAAGCAACAAAUGCCCUGCUUCCAGGAAAAGCCUCUAAGCAUCAGGUAACAUCAAAUCGUACCCCAAACCGACACAGGUGGUCA
RNAcentral lists this ribosomal RNA (359 nucleotides) under Escherichia coli. RNAcentral describes it as "bacterial LSU rRNA". It matches the Rfam family "Bacterial large subunit ribosomal RNA", at positions 1308 to 1669 of the family's 2925-position model. Lineage: Bacteria; Pseudomonadati; Pseudomonadota; Gammaproteobacteria; Enterobacterales; Enterobacteriaceae. The record is from RNAcentral.